UGAUAUUAUUACACUACAGAAAGCUAGUGGAACUUCCGGACAGCACAAAUCACUGUUUUAAUAGAUUUGUCUGUAUUGACGUCGGACAACACAUUUGGAAAGAACAAAACUAUAAGAAAGAUUAUACCAGCCAAAGCUUUUGGACAAAACAAACAGAAGCACUUCUAAUAACAUUUGACCAAAUAAUAAAAAAGUGAAUACUUAAUAUAAAUCUGUGAUGUACUCAGCAUUGUACAACCUAUCUAUUACAGUAUAUAGCAUUGCCAUGGAUUGUUUAUUUUCACAAAUCUAUCGCUCCAGGAACACGCUCAACUGAAUAUGAACAUAUGGCUGUGUGUCACUUGUAAGAUACAAGUAGUCCCAGUUCAGUUUUGAUGGAUCACUAUUAUUGCCUGGCAUAAACCUGCACAGAGAAUUAUAAUACGGGCCAUUUUAACUGACAGCGUUGAACAAAAGAUACUCAUUACAUGUGUGGGCGGUAACGUGCCCAUAUGGAUGUCUUGAGGCAGCACCGAACUGCAUUGUGGGGAAGUUGAAAAUAAUUGAUCAAGAAGAGGUGGGAGGUAGGUGGCGGUGGUUCUGACGUCUGAUCUACUCUUCUUCAAUCUCACUGUGAUCCUGAUGGGAAAUGGCCUCUUGAAGACACCGCGAUCCAUCACGUUCCGUCGGUCUGUCAGAAAACAAGAAACGUUUUCAUUCCUUUCUCCCGCUACCUGAAGCCCCUUGGCAUGUGCAAACGUGUUUUUCCUAUCUUCCUCUUCAUCCGAGCCUCCUCCUCCUCCUCCUCGUCCUCCGAGAGCUGUACAUCCACCGUGUUCAUCAUAUUACAUUGCACACCGGAGCUGAUUAUCCGCUUUAAUAACUAGCAAUUACUGCCGCGGUUCUUCUGGUGCUGCCCACGUGGAGGAGAACAGAGGGACAUGAUUACGCUCAUCAGACACACGCACACCAUCACACACGCCGCAAACACGCCGGCGUCACUAAUGCGCGCCGUGCUCGUGGCGCUCACCAGUCUGCAGGGGAUAUUAACACUUGUCUCCGUAACUGCCAAAUGGCCCCGCCCACAACCACCUGAUUACGUCCAUCAACACGGAUGGUGACAGAGGGAUGAAGAUUCAUUCACGUUGUUUGUUUUGGCCCCGGACUAAAAUGUUGGCCCUACCCCCGAAUGAAACGAUGCAAAGACGGGGACUCGAGUCACUUGAGUCCCCAAACCCAGAGAUACAAGGUAGACGGAAGAGCCCUCUGGAGGUGGUUCAUGAAGCAUCUGCAGAAUCAAGCAUCCCACCUAUUUCCUGGCCAGCGAGGAGCCAGUGUUUCCCACAGCAGAGGCGUGUGACUCGUCCUUGUUGUCCCUCUCGGACAACACAACAUCACAGUCUACAGAAUAUGCUAACUAUGAAAAAGUGAAUAACAUGUUAUGCUCAGGAGUGACAGAGAAGAUGAUUCUGAAGAUGUUUCCCAUGCCCAUGCUGUCCUUAAAUGGAGGGCACCAUCGAAGAUGUUUCCCUUCAAUUUAAGUCAUCAUGGUUACAGAUUAUAUUAUAUUGUUCAUUUAAUAAAUGAAAAAUGUA
Long non-coding RNA from Gadus morhua (Atlantic cod), 1574 nucleotides. RefSeq lists it as uncharacterized. The transcript has 3 exons. NCBI's taxonomy places the organism in Eukaryota, Metazoa, Chordata, Actinopteri, Gadiformes, Gadidae. The record is from RefSeq and is a predicted model, not a curated record.